RNAcentral lists this transfer RNA (65 nucleotides) under human gut metagenome. It matches the Rfam family "tRNA", at positions 6 to 65 of the family's 71-position model. Rfam says of the family: Transfer RNA (tRNA) molecules are approximately 80 nucleotides in length. The record is from RNAcentral.
UCGUAGCUCAGUUGGAUAGAGUGUUUGGCUACGAACCAAAAGGUCGCAGGUUCGAAUCCUGCCGG